ACAUUGGUCAUGCUAUAGGUGCCAAUUAUCCUACUAGAAGGGAGAAGUCAUGAUGGAGGGGUAAAAUUUGAAGGUAGGGCAAGUUGUUUGAUGUAGGAAAGGUAGAUAAGUUAAUCAUGGAGGUUGAUGUACUGGAUGAAAGGAAGGAUAAUCUUGUAGGUUUAGGAAAAGGCUUCGGGUGAGGGUUGGGCUAGGGAUGAACAAGGGAGGGAUGUAUGUCAUCAGUAAAAUUGUCAUAAGUAAAGAUAAGGGAGGAAGGCAUGUGGGCAAAAGGAAAUUAUCUUUCCUAAAAAAUGACAUACCAUAAUAUUAUUAUCAUUCUAUGGGACAAAUCAAAACAUUUAUAACC
Molecule: long non-coding RNA, 349 nt
Filed under: Vigna radiata
Lineage: Eukaryota; Viridiplantae; Streptophyta; Magnoliopsida; Fabales; Fabaceae
Description: long non-coding RNA (VRAD_LNC002754)
Source: RNAcentral